Molecule: long non-coding RNA, 4050 nt
Organism: Triticum aestivum (bread wheat)
Lineage: Eukaryota; Viridiplantae; Streptophyta; Magnoliopsida; Poales; Poaceae
Exons: 3
Source: RefSeq, a predicted model, not a curated record
UAUCCCUCCCCCGAUCCCCCCUGCCCUUCCUUGGCGCCGCCAGCUCCGCCCACUUCUUGUGCGCGGGGGCGGCGGCUGAACCUCUUCGGCCCUUCCAUUCUCCAUCGGCCGGGGCCUGGGGGCCAUUGGGUGGGACAUUGCUAUUCCCCACCGCCGGCUGGCAGCGUUGACGGCAGCGACAAGCAGGAGCUUGCCGACGCAUGGAGGAGGUCGACGCGUCGCUGCUGCCUCUUUGCCACUGCCACGAUGCCUCCUCGCCGACCACGCAUCUGCCACCGGUGGAGAGUGCCCGCCGGAUGAAGGUUUGCCGCCCCAACAGAGCCGUGCACUGUUGUUGUCGCCGGCACCAGAGUCCUUGUCUUUCUUGCAGCCUUCUCUCGUGCCACCUCUCUUGUGACCCCACUAGAUUCAUGCUUUAACUCCUGGCGUCAUGGAUUCCUUGAUUAUAUGUUGAUGUUGUCUGCUCGGUAUUUUUGUUUGGUAUGAGGGGAAAAAAAUCGACGCAUCUUACAUGCCGUUGUUGGAUCUAAAUGGGCAACUGUCCAUCCAAAUUUGUUUGGUUGAUCAGAUAUUUGUCCAUUUUAUUGUCUUAAUGUAAUCACAUGUUCAUAAUUUUUCCAAUCAUCAGCGAAGAUUUGGGUGGCUGCGAUUGAUUGCCGUAGGGAAAACGAAGCAAGAACUCGAAGGAGCUCAAGAUUUUUCUACUACUUUGUUAAUAGCUUUGUGAGGUAAUUCAGCUACCUAUAUGUUUGUUUGUUUCCUGUUGUAGCAAGGUUAUUAUUUUAAUUUACAGAAUAUAAACAUGAUGUAUGAUUUAAGCGCCUAAUAGUAGAUGUUGCUAGCAUGAACAUAAUGUGUACUGUACUAAUCCUGACGAACAGGUUCAGUAACCUACAUCCAUCAGAACAUUGUGUGUCUUUUUUCUGUUGUCUCGUCUUUUCUCUUGUGGCCUUCCAAUACAAAAAGUCAAAUGCAAUGCAACUAUGAGCAUUGCCGACUUAUGAACACACUGAGCAUGUGAUCUAUAGCCUCAACACACUUUCAGGGUCUAUCUCAUUGCUUUUCUUACUCGUACGUAUGCAGCACAUACAGAGCAGCCAAGAUGAAACCUUCGGUUCUCAUCAGCUUCUGCAACUGAAAAAUCAUCUUUUAGGUAGUCUAAUUCUUCCAAAGUAGCGAGUGUCAAUGGAGACUUGACAUGCCUGGUUUUGCUUCAUGAAGAGUUGCAUUCUGAAAGUGACUAGGGAGGGAGGAUUGGUUGGAGGGAGGGAUGGAGACAGAGAAAGAUGGUUAGUGUUUGAUUCGCACACUAUCAAUCUGAUUUUUCUGUAAUUAUUUCAUGCACAUCUACUUUAUUUCUUCUUUGGUUUACGGAACAUAGGAGGUAUUAGUCAUGCACAUGUUAAUUGUUGUUACAAACAUGGCAAUGGAAUUCUGUUAAAUUUGUUCCCCAAGGUGGUGUUAUUUAGUUUGUGCUUCUUUUUCUAUUGGUGCGAAAAAUGAUUCAUUGGGUGAUUUGAUGCAUUCAUUUGUGAUCUUGUCGACCGCUACACCCGCUGGCAUCAAGAUGAGGUCAUGGUGCGGGCUUUGGGGUUUUGAGGGCGUGAAAUGGUGGCAUACAGAGAUGUCAACAGCCUGUGUACUUGAGUAAUGCUUGCUAAAGGUAUGCUAUAUAUUUCCUUUUGAAUUUAUUUUUUCUAUUGCUUUAGUCCUGUCAUAACCAGGAUACGUAAUGGACACAGUCCUAAAAAAUCCUUAUGAAUUUACUUCAAUCCAAAGAGGGCCUUAAUUGGGCAAUAGGGUUAUAAACCGAUAGUAAUUAUGUAUAAAAUGGAAGUGUUGCUUCAAAGAGAAUUUCAUGAGAUGCUCCUGUUCUUAGCUCUAAUCCAGUGGUAUUGCUGUAGGUCAGCAGUAAUGUUUUGCUUAUUAAAUUGAUAUUUGGGUAAGUUGGCAGUGUGCACGAGAUAUAUAGUUAACUUUUUAACUGCUACACUACGAAAAAAUCUAACAAUCUAACAGGGAGGAGAUGCCAAAAAAUUUGGGGCACAACGGGAGAUGCUAGAGGAUCGAACAUACAAACGCUGCUAGAGUACCCGCCAUUCCAGGGGCAUUCGCGGCGCGCAUGUGAUCUGGCUGCAUGAUCUGCCUCGCUGGCCUGAUUUUACAGUGCUGUCAAAAAUCCCGCGGUUAGUUUCUUUGGACAUUGAUCUUUCAUGCUACAGCGGAUGACGUGUGGGGCUCCUUUCCUCGCGGGCCUGUUUUGCAGUUACAUUGAGAAGAAACCUCGGGGUCCCGUAUGCUCUGUGCGCGGUGGAAUCGGGUAAAAACCUAGCUGCCAAUCCCCUCUCAUCCUCGAUCCCAGACCCCAUGCCUCGUCUCUCCUCUCUUGCCGCCGCCACCACGCCCAUUCUCCUCCUCCUCUACCCAGGGCUGCCUCUCCUCCUUUUCAUCGACCAGAUCCUACCGGAUCCUCCCGCGUGCCGGCUUAUCCUCGAAGAGAAGGGUCACAUCUGCAGGGGAAGAGGGGUGGGCCAGCAAAGUUGAGGAGUAGCAUCGCAGCUGGGUCUUCAUAGUUCGGGUGGAGGAGCAGGGGAGGUGGGUGAUGGGGGGAAGGAGCAGCGUGGCCGGCGACCGGAGCAAGAAGCAGCGGGGGCAACGCUCCCAUCGCACUAGGGUGGUUAGCCCUUGUUCGACAUGGCCCUCCAGGGCAUGCGACGCAGUGCGCCAAGCACUGCAGAUCUAAUUUUCCUCAUUGGCUUGCAGGUAUGCUUCGGCUAGGUUGUUCUUUCUCUUCCUUAAGCCUCUGUUUCUGAGAGGCAAACAAAUUGUAUGUCCUGCAGGUCUGAGCUGAAUGAGAGCAUGGACUUCAACAUUUAAGUGAUGAGGCAGCUAAAUGUACGUAAGUCAAAUUCGGCACAUAAAGUCUGAGUAGGUAUUUUCGGCCUUUCUUAAUGUAAAGAUGGUGAGUUGCCACUGCAAGAAGGUAAUUUUUUGCCUUUCCACAUGUUCAAGCAUAUGUUUGUAGAUUAAAAGUUGUGUUCUUUAGAGGUGCCUUUUGAGAUACAAGGCAUGGUUAUAUGUAAAUUUUAGUUCCCUUCAAUGACAUAUUAAUAGAUAUACAUGGGUUGUCACCCUACUUUUGAAAUCAGUUUGUGUAUUUGAGAUGGCAGAUUUUGGAUUAGUAGUUCUUCAGAGCACUAGAUGUUUGCCCAAGAUAAUAUUUGUUAUUUUUUAAUAUUUUUGAAUCUCUGCUGGAAUUCUAACCCUGCAUUAAUAGCAGGGUGUGCCGACUGAUAAAUAGUGUUGUGUUUGGUCCGUGUCUAGCAGUUGGCAUAUUGACCUAUAUUUUUCCUAUAAUAGUGUCCCUAAUUUGCAUUGAGCUGAUAUUACAUUUGGCUAAAAGAUAAAAAGACCUAUAUAGGAAUGUUGAUUGCAAACUUACCUCUUAAUAUUGUGUUGUUGACUUUUAGGAUAGGUUGAGGAGAGUUGCCACUGCAAGAAGGUAAUUUUUUCCCUCUGACACGUUCAAGCAUAUUAGGAGGCAAUCAAUGCAUGACUUAAUUUAAGAAUAUAUAGGUGUUCAUGCUCAUAGUUGUGCUGCCCGUUGGCACCAACAUGUCUAGAACAUCGCCUGUGACGCGUCAGUCGAUGGUCAAUGCUCCGUUGGUUCGCCGCCAUCCAUCCACCCCCUUCUGAAAUCUGAAUUUUGGAAUGAUGGAUAGAUUCUGAAAUCUGAAUUUCGAAUGAUGAUUAUGAAUUUGUCAUGGUGCACAUAUUGGCCUACGUUUCUUCUUUUCUCCUUUCAGAGAAGCAAUUCGUUUUGCUGUAUCCAGGAGGCGUGCACGACGCUCUUUAUAGGAAGGGAGAGGAAUACAAGCUAUUUUGGUCUGAGUAGUCUGAAUUUCUGCAUAUGACAUCAUGGUUUGGAGCAACAAUAAUACCAUUUGGAUUGGUUGGAGAAGACGAUAUAUGUGAUGCAAGUGCAACCUCAAAAGAUAUGUUAUCUUACUAUGUUAUCCCCUUGAUUAUCUAAUGUCUAGAAACAAUGUU